AGUUAAAAAGCUCGUAGUUGGAUUUCUGUGGGGACGGAGCGGCCGGCCGCACAUCGCGGUUCGAGCUAGCGCUUUCCCUACAUCCUGCCGCGAACCGUGCUACCAUUAGUUUGGUGGCGCCGGGGAUCGGCUCGAUUACUUUGAGAAAAAUAGAGUGUUCAAAGCAGGCCACACGCCUUGAAUAAGUUAGCAUGGAAUAAUAACUAAGGACUUCGGUUCUAUUUUGUUGGUGUUCGGGACUGAAGUAAUGAUUGAUAGGGACAGUUGGGGCGGUCAGUAUUCCAAAGCGAGAGGUGAAAUUCUUAGACCUUCGGAAGACUAACAGCUGCGAAAGCGUUCCGCAAGGAUGUUCCCUUUGAUCAAGAACGAAAGUUGGGGGAUCGAAGACGAUCAGAUACCGUCGUAGUCUCAACUAUAAACCAUACCAGCUAGGGAUCGGCCAACGUUAUUUAAUACCGACUUGGUCGGCACCUUAUGAGAAAUCAAAGCAUCUGGGUUCCGGGGGGAGUAUGGUCGCAAGGCUGAAACUUAAAGGAAUUGACGGAAGGGCACCACCAGCCGUGGAGCCUGUGGCUUAAUUUGACUCAACACGGGAAAACUUACCAGGUCCAGACAUAGUAAGGAUUGACAGAUUGAUAGCUC
RNAcentral lists this ribosomal RNA (642 nucleotides) under uncultured marine eukaryote. RNAcentral describes it as "SSU rRNA". It matches the Rfam family "Eukaryotic small subunit ribosomal RNA", at positions 617 to 1257 of the family's 1831-position model. The record is from RNAcentral.